Long non-coding RNA from Pogona vitticeps (central bearded dragon), 2643 nucleotides. Lineage: Eukaryota; Metazoa; Chordata; Lepidosauria; Squamata; Agamidae. The record is from Ensembl.
AUGCGGGUUUUACUCCCGCUACUUCGCCGUCUCAAAAAGCGGAGGAGGCAUAAGACCCAUCCUCGAUCUAAGACUCCUCAAUACUUACCUGCGACCCAGACGGUUUCGGAUGCUUACCUUAGAGUCCAUCAUGCACUUGCUGAAAAAGAGCAACUGGUUCGUCCUUAUAGAUCUAAAGGACGCAUACUUUCACGUCACUAUUCACCCCGACCACCGCAGGUUCCUUCGGUUCAUCUUUCAGGACACGGUCUACGAAUUCCAGGCCCUGCCAUUCGGUCUGUCCACAGCUCCCCGGACCUUCACCAAGGUUAUGGCUCCGGUGGCGGCUUACCUUCGUCUCAGGGGCAUUCACGUUUACCCUUACCUGGACGAUUGGCUCGUAGUCUCCACCUCGAGAAGGCAAUCCCUGAAAGACACAAGAUUCAUUCUGUAUCUUCUUUCCAAUCUCGGUCUCACUGUCAACAAUCAGAAAUCCCGGCUCAUUCCCUCCAAGACAGUUCAAUACAUAGGGGUCUGCUUGGACGCUGUAAAGGGUCGAGUCUUUCUUCCCCCGGAAAGAAUACACAAGAUUCGACGAGCCAUCAGGAAAUUUUUCCCCGGUGCUCGGGUGACAGCCCACCAUGCCCAGCACCUCCUCGGCCUGAUGUCUUCUACGACGCCGGCGCUAGCGCACGCUCGCCUCAAACUCCGGUCGCUCCAAUCUUGGUUUCUCACCCUUUUCGACCCCAUGAUCGACAGUCAAAGGAAACGCCUUCGUGUCACCCCGGAGCUCACCAGACAACUCCAGUGGUGGAUGUACACACCCCAUCUCACGGUUGGCCGGCCCUUUCGUCCACUCCGUCUCACCGUUCAAGUUACAACGGACGCCAGUCCGUCCGGCUGGGGGGCGCACUGCGGGCGCCGCACCAUUCACGCCCUCUGGACGCCUCAAGAAGCCAUGUUCCACAUCAAUUACCUGGAACUGCUGGCGGUUAUCAAGGCCUUCAAGUCCUUCCUCCCUCUCCUCCGCGGCCGCGGAGUUCAGCUAGUGACGGACAACACUACCACAAUGCACUAUGUCAACAAGCAGGGAGGAACCCGCUCUCAUUCACUCCUGUAUCUCUCCAUCCUCCUUUGGGAAUGGUGUUACCGUCAUCAUAUCUACCCGGUGGCCAUCCAUGUAGCCACGGAGGACAACACACUUGCCGACACUCUGAGCAGGCUUCACUAUCAGACUCACGAAUGGGAGUUGAACCCUCUGGUCUUCCAGGACCUUUGCAACCAGUGGGGGACCCCAGUGCUGGACGUGUUCGCAUCCCCUCACAACGCAAAAUGCUCCCGCUAUGCCUCCCGGGCAGGUCUCGGUCACCACUCGCUCGGCGACGCAUUCAUGAUUCCAUGGAACCAGGGUCUCUUGUACAUGUUUCCACCGAUCCCGUUAAUACAGAGAUCCUUGAUCAAACUCCGACGCUCGAUGACUCCGGCCAUCUUCAUCGCACCCUUUUGGCCUCGCCAAGUGUGGUUUCCCACUCUAGUCAGCAUGGCUGUGGACUCAGUAACCCUUCCAAUGUGGCCAGACCUACUGACCCAGGAAGCAGGCAAAGUCCUUCACCCCGACCUCGACACGCUCCAUCUGACGGCGUGGCGGAUCGUCCCGAAAUUCAGGAGGCCUUGACCCAUGCCAUCAAACCCUCCACGUCUCGCUUGUAUGCCUCCAAAUGGAACAGCUUUCUGACAUUUACCCAGCAGAGGGAUCUCACCUCCUCACCUGUGUCUCUUUCCACACUUCUGCAGUAUCUCCGUUACCUGUUUGAUUUCCACCUGUCUAUCUCUACUAUCAAGGUGUACCUGGCUGCGGUUGUCUUCUUUCAGCCCAGAGCUUCUCCCUCAUCCCGCUUUUUCUCCCAUCCUACCGUCAGGAUGUUUUUGAGGGGUCUCUCUAACCUCCGACCUCCCGUUCGUCCUCCACUCCCUCAGUGGUCCCUCCAUUUGGUUCUGCAUGCCCUAUCCAGACCCCCAUUUGAACCUAUGGCUACCUGUGACCUCAAAAUGCUCUCUUUAAAAACGCUAUUCCUAGUGGCUAUUACCUCUGCUCGUCGAGCUAGCGAGUUGGCAGCUCUCCGCCAUGACCAACCUUUUCUUCAGUUCUUUAAGGACAAGGUUAUGCUUUACCUGGACGUCUCCUUUCUUCCUAAGGUGGUCUCCGACUUCCACGUCAAUCAGCCACUUAUUCUCCCAACUUUGUUUCCGUCUCCGACGACUGAUGUUGAACGCAUGCUCCACAUGCUCGAUGUUCGACGGUCCUUAGCUUUUUACGUGUCCAGGACCAAGGACUUUCGCCUGGCCAACAGACUCUUCCUUUGCCACUUUGGCCCUAAGAAGGGUUGCCCGGCCUCGCCGUCCACGCUCUCUCGGUGGCUCGUGUCUACCAUCGCCCUUGCCUACGAGCUCAACCACAGAGAUCCUCCACAGGGACUUAAAGCCCAUUCCACCCGGGCUGUUGCCUCCUCCACUGCCUUACUUCGUGGCGUCGACCUGCCCGACAUCUGCCGGUCCGCUACGUGGUCUAAUGCCUCUACCUUCAUAACCCACUACAGAUUGGACGUGAGGGCAAAAGAGGAGACCAAAUUCGGGAGGGCAGUGCUAGCAUCGGCUCUUCAGUGA